UGGAUCCCAAAGAAGACAAAUAACUGACACACCUCCCUCAUUUCAACUUGUUUUUGUCUACUUGUCUCUUUUUUUUUUUAAUACUGAUUAAUCAUCAGAUUACUGCAUUACACAGAUAUUUACAACAACUGCUAUUGUAGCAGAGAUAUUAUACUGAUAUUUACAAUAAGAUAUACAUAAUUGGGACUUAUAUUAUGACAUUGAAUUCUAUGAAGUACAUGCCUAAACAAAUAACUCCUCACAGGAGAGGGAUAUCCAUACUCCACUCGCAUUUCGCAAGGGAGAAUGAUUUUUUUGGAAGUAUAAAGAAUAUUUAGCCCCCACAAUGCUUUUGUGGGGGCUAGAACCGCUGCCCUCACAAGCAUUGUGAGGGCAGCAGCCCACCACUUCGGCCAAGG
This 398-nucleotide long non-coding RNA is filed under the name Citrus sinensis (sweet orange). Its description in RNAcentral is "long non-coding RNA (CSIN_LNC003216)". Lineage: Eukaryota; Viridiplantae; Streptophyta; Magnoliopsida; Sapindales; Rutaceae. The record is from RNAcentral.